GAGUUUGAUCAUGGCUCAGAUUGAACGCUGGCGGCAGGCCUAACACAUGCAAGUCGAGCGGAUGAAGGGAGCUUGCUCCUGGAUUCAGCGGCGGACGGGUGAGUAAUGCCUAGGAAUCUGCCUGGUAGUGGGGGAUAACGUCCGGAAACGGGCGCUAAUACCGCAUACGUCCUGAGGGAGAAAGUGGGGAUCUUCGGACCUCACGCUAUCAGAUGAGCCUAGGUCGGAUUAGCUAGUUGGUGGGUAAAGGCCUACCAAGGCGACGAUCCGUAACUGGUCUGAGAGGAUGAUCAGUCACACUGGAACUGAGACACGGUCCAGACUCCUACGGGAGGCAGCAGUGGGAAUA
This 349-nucleotide ribosomal RNA is filed under the name uncultured microorganism. RNAcentral describes it as "bacterial SSU rRNA". It matches the Rfam family "Bacterial small subunit ribosomal RNA", at positions 9 to 363 of the family's 1533-position model. The record is from RNAcentral.